Molecule: non-coding RNA, 30 nt
Filed under: Mus musculus (house mouse)
Lineage: Eukaryota; Metazoa; Chordata; Mammalia; Rodentia; Muridae
Source: RNAcentral
UGGGUGAAAAGCUGAUGAUUGACCCUCAGC